This 129-nucleotide transfer RNA is filed under the name Metarhizium rileyi. Its description in RNAcentral is "tRNA-Leu". It matches the Rfam family "tRNA". From Rfam's summary of the family: Transfer RNA (tRNA) molecules are approximately 80 nucleotides in length. Lineage: Eukaryota; Fungi; Ascomycota; Sordariomycetes; Hypocreales; Clavicipitaceae. The record is from RNAcentral.
GGCAGAAUGGCCGAGUGGUCUAUGGCGACGGUCUCAAGCACAGCAUGUCUAUCCAUGUCUGGUCUUUCGCCUGCGAAAAGCAGCGUUCCGUUCACGAAAGUGGCCGGGGUUCGAAUCCCCGUUCUGUCA